GACAUAGGUGGCGAACGUUAUCCGGAAUUAUUGGGCGUAAAGAGUGCGUAGGUGGUUUAAUAAGUUACUGGUGGGAAAUCGGGGCCCAACCCCGUGGAAGUCAGUAAUACUAUUAAACUAGAGGGUUGGAGAGGUUAACGGAAUUCUAUGUGUAGCGGUAAAAUGCGUAAAUAUAUAGAGGAACACCAAACGGCGAAGGCAGUUAACUAUUCAAUUCCUGACGUUGAGGCACGAAAGCCAGGGGAGCGAACGGG
Molecule: ribosomal RNA, 254 nt
Filed under: uncultured bacterium
Lineage: Bacteria
Description: partial 16S ribosomal RNA
Rfam family: Bacterial small subunit ribosomal RNA
Source: RNAcentral